Long non-coding RNA from Solanum verrucosum, 480 nucleotides. RefSeq lists it as uncharacterized. The transcript is spliced from 2 exons. Lineage: Eukaryota; Viridiplantae; Streptophyta; Magnoliopsida; Solanales; Solanaceae. The record is from RefSeq and is a predicted model, not a curated record.
UAUGGGUAGGAAUCGGGUCGGAUCAUUUCUCAACCUCAUCGUGGAAUUGAGAAAUAAAAUAGGGGUCAGAUUAUUAGGGCUUUGAACAAUUAGUGUGAUUGAUUGAUAGAGAGAGCAGUAGAAGAAAAUUGGUGUGUUGAUCAAAGAGAUUUAAGCAUGUCGUUGAUGAAGGGAGAGCCAUUGGUGAGGAAGAUUGCGCUGAUAGCUAAAUACGCAGUGUUUCCGGGAGCUAUGGCUGCUGCGGUGAUCUAUUCUCCUCCGACUUAUGCUUCUUAUUAUAAGCCCCAAUCUUCUUCUUCAAAAUAAUCUGGGGAUACCCUUUUGUUUUCCUCAUGGGGUUCUUUUUGACUUGCCGAAUGCUUCUGGUUGCAGUAGUUUACUGAAAUGCUCUAUUUGUAAUAGACGUGGUAUGUAGUAAUAAUGCAAUGGCAGUUUGUUUCUGUACUCAAACUAUCGACUUUUGAAAAUCGGAAUAGACUC